Molecule: long non-coding RNA, 161 nt
Organism: Amblyraja radiata (thorny skate)
Lineage: Eukaryota; Metazoa; Chordata; Chondrichthyes; Rajiformes; Rajidae
Exons: 4
Source: RefSeq, a predicted model, not a curated record
AGAAUGGACAGGCAAUGAUACCUGGCUGAAACUUGAAUCCAGGAUUAGAUGAAUAGUUACGUUUUCUAACCUACGGACCUAUCUACUAAGUUGUAUUAUUGACAGUUUAUUCUAUUUUUUAAAUUUUCUUUUUUUUUCUCUUUUCUCUUUCUUUCUAUAAA